AUUGAACGCUGGCGGCAUGCCUAACACAUGCAAGUCGAACGGAAACGAUGGGAGCUUGCUCCCAGGCGUCGAGUGGCGGACGGGUGAGUAAUGCUUAGGAAUCUGCCCAGUAUGGGGGGACAACCAGGAGAAAUUCUGGCUAAUACCGCAUACGCACUACGGUGGAAAGUGGGGGACCUUCGGGCCUCACGCUAUUGGAUGAGCCUAAGUCGGAUUAGCUUGUUGGUAGGGUAAUAGCUACCAAGGCGACGAUCCGUAGCUGGUCUGAGAGGACGAUCAGCCACACUGGGACUGAGACACGGCCCAGACUCCUACGGGAGGGCAGCAGUGGGGGAAGUAUUGGACAAUGGGCGGCAAGCCUCGAUCCCAGCAAUGCCGCGUGUGUGAAGAAGGCCUGCGGGUUGUAAAGCACUUUCAGUAGAGAAGAAAAGCCUAGGGUUAAUACCCCUGAGUCUUGACGUAACCUACAGAAGAAGCACCGGCUAACUCCGUG
Molecule: ribosomal RNA, 493 nt
Filed under: uncultured bacterium
Lineage: Bacteria
Description: bacterial SSU rRNA
Rfam family: Bacterial small subunit ribosomal RNA
Source: RNAcentral